CUUCAAGUCAAAAUACUUGCCCUUUAAAGAAUUUCAAAAAAAAAAUUACUUGAAAAAGCCUCUGCGAGUAAACGGUUCAAUUGAAAUCUCACAAUGCCCUUUAAAGAAUUUCGGGAAAAAAAAAAAUUACUUGAAGAAGCCUCUGCGAGUAAACGGUUCAAUUGAAAUCUUACAAUAACUCGUAGCAAAUAUAACACCGAAAAAUGUGCACUUUAGAGAAACACGGCGACGUUUUUGUCCUAACCUUAACCGGUUCCUCCGACGUUGACGAACACCGGUUCGGUCCUCCCGCAAUCGACUCGAUCCUCUCGGCUAUCGCCAAAGCCAAAGCCGAAGCAACUCCCGGCUCCGCUCUUAUAACCACUUCUCAUGGCAAAUUCUUCUCCAACGGCUUCGACCUCGCCUGGGCCCAAGCCGCCGGCUCACGAACCGGCGCCCGGGAACGCCUCCACUAUAUGGUCGAAUCCUUCAGGCCGGUGGUAGCCGCCAUGAUGGAUCUAC
This 501-nucleotide long non-coding RNA is filed under the name Citrus maxima (pomelo). Its description in RNAcentral is "long non-coding RNA (CMAX_LNC003650)". The record is from RNAcentral. Lineage: Eukaryota; Viridiplantae; Streptophyta; Magnoliopsida; Sapindales; Rutaceae.